GACGAACGCUGGCGGCGUGCUUAACACAUGCAAGUCGAACGGAAAGGCCCUGCUUUUGUGGUGUGCUCGAGUGGCGAACGGGUGAGUAACACGUGAGUAACCUGCCCUUGACUUUGGGAUAACUUCAGGAAACUGGGGCUCAUACCGGAUAGGAGCUCCUGCUGCAUGGUGGGGGUUGGAAAGUUUCGGCGGUUGGGGAUGGACUCGCGGCUUAUCAGCUUGUUGGUGGGGUAGUGGCUUACCAAGGCUUUGACGGGUAGCCGGCCUGAGAGGGUGACCGGCCACAUUGGGACUGAGAUACGGCCCAGACUCCUACGGGAGGCAGCAGUGGGGAAUAUUGCACAAUGGGCGGAAGCCUGAUGCAGCAACGCCGCGUGCGGGAUGACGGCCUUCGGGUUGUAAACCGCUUUCGCCUGAGACGAAGCGUGAGUGACGGUAAUGGGUAAAGAAGCACCGGCUAACUACGUG
This 468-nucleotide ribosomal RNA is filed under the name uncultured bacterium. RNAcentral's name for it is "partial 16S ribosomal RNA". It matches the Rfam family "Bacterial small subunit ribosomal RNA", at positions 28 to 507 of the family's 1533-position model. The record is from RNAcentral.